UGCAGUCGAGCGGUAGAGAGAAGCUUGCUUCUCUUGAGAGCGGCGGACGGGUGAGUAAUGCCUAGGAAUCUGCCUGGUAGUGGGGGAUAACGUUCGGAAACGGACGCUAAUACCGCAUACGUCCUACGGGAGAAAGCAGGGGACCUUCGGGCCUUGCGCUAUCAGAUGAGCCUAGGUCGGAUUAGCUAGUUGGUGAGGUAAUGGCUCACCAAGGCGACGAUCCGUAACUGGUCUGAGAGGAUGAUCAGUCACACUGGAACUGAGACACGGUCCAGACUCCUACGGGAGGCAGCAGUGGGGAAUAUUGGACAAUGGGCGAAAGCCUGAUCCAGCCAUGCCGCGUGUGUGAAGAAGGUCUUCGGAUUGUAAAGCACUUUAAGUUGGGAGGAAGGGCAGUUGCCUAAUACGUAACUGUUUUGACGUUACCGACAGAAUAAGCACCGGCUAACUCUGUGCCAGCAGCCGCGGUAAUACAGAGGGUGCAAGCGUUAAUCGGAAUUACUGGGCGUAGAGCGCGCGUAGGUGGUUUGUUAAGUUGGAUGUGAAAUCCCCGGGCUCAACCUGGGAACUGCAUUCAAAACUGACUGACUAGAGUAUGGUAGAGGGUGGUGGAAUUUCCUGUGUAGCGGUGAAAUGCGUAGAUAUAGGAAGGAACACCAGUGGCGAAGGCGACCACCUGGACU
This 683-nucleotide ribosomal RNA is filed under the name uncultured bacterium. RNAcentral's name for it is "bacterial SSU rRNA". It matches the Rfam family "Bacterial small subunit ribosomal RNA", at positions 56 to 735 of the family's 1533-position model. The record is from RNAcentral.